Molecule: long non-coding RNA, 190 nt
Organism: Dreissena polymorpha
Lineage: Eukaryota; Metazoa; Mollusca; Bivalvia; Myida; Dreissenidae
Exons: 2
Source: RefSeq, a predicted model, not a curated record
AAAAGAGUAUGAAUGUAAAGAUCUGCCCACCAUUCAAUGAACGUUCAAUUUCUCAUGCAAUUUUAGUUCAAGUAAAGAUGGAAAGAAAUAAUUAUUUGACACACAAAAGUUAACAUUAUUUGAUGUAUGUAUUUCACAUGAUUAACGGCUCUUUUCAUGUAUACCUCAGUUGUGAUCCAGUGAUUUGUUU